GUCCUCAGGAAACGGCAUGCUGGCCUCUGGGCGCAGAACCUCCACCCUUGUUUGGCUGGUGUCUUGUUGCAGCUGGUGGAUGACUUGUAGUUUUAUGUGCAGAAAAGCUCCUGUUGGGCUCCAGCCAGGCGAGUCACCACUCAAAGAGGGGGUCCAGCCGGGCCAUCAGACUCUUCAGGUGUCGCCCUGUCUGGGCCAGCUGUUGUGUCAGUUGGACCAGCUGUUGAACAGGUUAUGGACCGUGCUGGGACGUCGCUUCAACACAGCCAACAGAGAGAGCUUCCCUUGUGGCUCAGACAGUAUAGAGUCUGCCUGCAAUGAAGGAAACCCAGGUUUGAUCCCUGGGUCAGGAAGAUCUCCUGGAGAAGGAAAUGGCAACCCGCUCCAGUGUUCUUGCCUGGAGAAUCCCAUGGACAGAAGAGCCUGGUGAGCUCCCCUUUGCACCUCUGCGGUAGACGGAGGACAGUGGUGUCUACCUCACUGUUGUUUCUUGUUUAUAACACUGCUUGGCCCAUAGGAAGUACAGAG
This 528-nucleotide long non-coding RNA is filed under the name Bos indicus x Bos taurus (hybrid cattle). RNAcentral's name for it is "lncRNA (ENSBIXG00000010908.1)". Lineage: Eukaryota; Metazoa; Chordata; Mammalia; Artiodactyla; Bovidae. The record is from RNAcentral.